GAAUAUUGCACAAUGGGCGCAAGCCUGAUGCGGCGACGCCGCGUGAGGGAUGACGGCCUUCGGGUUGUAAACCUCUUUCAAUAGGGACGAAGCGCAAGUGACGGUACCUAUAGAAGAAGGACCGGCCAACUACGUGCCAGCCGCCGCGGUAAUACGUAGGGUCCGAGCGUUGUCCGGAAUUACUGGGCGUAAAGAGCUCGUAGGUGGUUUGUCGCGUUGUUCGUGAAAACUCACAGCUUAACUGUGGGCGUGCGGGCGAUACGGGCAGACUAGAGUACUGCAGGGGAGACUGGAAUUCCUGGUGUAGCGGUGGAAUGCGCAGAUAUCAGGAGGAACACCGGUGGCGAAGGCGGGUCUCUGGGCAGUAACUGACGCUGAGGAGCGAAAGCGUGGGGAGCGAACAGG
RNAcentral lists this ribosomal RNA (405 nucleotides) under uncultured bacterium. Its description in RNAcentral is "bacterial SSU rRNA". It matches the Rfam family "Bacterial small subunit ribosomal RNA", at positions 359 to 776 of the family's 1533-position model. The record is from RNAcentral.